This 561-nucleotide ribosomal RNA is filed under the name uncultured bacterium. RNAcentral's name for it is "bacterial SSU rRNA". It matches the Rfam family "Bacterial small subunit ribosomal RNA", at positions 338 to 916 of the family's 1533-position model. The record is from RNAcentral.
CCUACGGGAGGCAGCAGUGGGGAAUAUUGGACAAUGGGCGCAAGCCUGAUCCAGCAAUGCCGCGUGGGUGAUGAAGGCCUUAGGGUCGUAAAGCUCUUUUACCAGGGAUGAUAAUGACAGUACCUGGAGAAUAAGCUCCGGCUAACUCCGUGCCAGCAGCCGCGGUAAUACGGAGGGAGCUAGCGUUGUUCGGAAUUACUGGGCGUAAAGCGUACGUAGGCGGUUAUUCAAGUCAGAGGUGAAAGCCCGGGGCUCAACCCCGGAACGGCCUUUGAAACUAGGUAGCUAGAAUCUUGGAGAGGUCAGUGGAAUUCCGAGUGUAGAGGUGAAAUUCGUAGAUAUUCGGAAGAACACCAGUGGCGAAGGCGACUGACUGGACAAGUAUUGACGCUGAGGUACGAAAGCGUGGGGAGCAAACAGGAUUAGAUACCCUGGUAGUCCACGCCGUAAACGAUGAUAACUAGCUGUCCGGGCACUUGGUGCCUGGGUGGCGCAGCUAACGCAUUAAGUUAUCCGCCUGGGGAGUACGGUCGCAAGAUUAAAACUCAAAGGAAUUGACGG